GAGAGGAGCUUGCUCCUUGAUUCAGCGGCGGACGGGUGAGUAAUGCCUAGGAAUCUGCCUGGUAGUGGGGGACAACGUUUCGAAAGGAACGCUAAUACCGCAUACGUCCUACGGGAGAAAGCAGGGGACCUUCGGGCCUUGCGCUAUCAGAUGAGCCUAGGUCGGAUUAGCUAGUUGGUGAGGUAAUGGCUCACCAAGGCGACGAUCCGUAACUGGUCUGAGAGGAUGAUCAGUCACACUGGAACUGAGACACGGUCCAGACUCCUACGGGAGGCAGCAGUGGGGAAUAUUGGACAAUGGGCGAAAGCCUGAUCCAGCCAUGCCGCGUGUGUGAAGAAGGUCUUCGGAUUGUAAAGCACUUUAAGUUGGGAGGAAGGGCAUUAACCUAAUACGUUAGUGUUUUGACGUUACCGACAGAAUAAGCACCGGCUAACUCUGUGCCAGCAGCCGCGGUAAUACAGAGGGUGCAAGCGUUAAUCGGAAUUACUGGGCGUAAAGCGCGCGUAGGUGGUUUGUUAAGUUGGAUGUGAAAG
This 533-nucleotide ribosomal RNA is filed under the name Pseudomonas sp. S13(2015). RNAcentral describes it as "bacterial SSU rRNA". It matches the Rfam family "Bacterial small subunit ribosomal RNA", at positions 71 to 600 of the family's 1533-position model. The record is from RNAcentral. Lineage: Bacteria; Pseudomonadati; Pseudomonadota; Gammaproteobacteria; Pseudomonadales; Pseudomonadaceae.